This 263-nucleotide ribosomal RNA is filed under the name uncultured bacterium. Its description in RNAcentral is "partial 16S ribosomal RNA". It matches the Rfam family "Bacterial small subunit ribosomal RNA", at positions 92 to 353 of the family's 1533-position model. The record is from RNAcentral.
CGACCGGCGCACGGGUGAGUAACACGUAUCCAACCUGCCGUCUACUCUUGGACAGCCUUCUGAAAGGAAGGUUAAUACAAGAUGGCAUCAUGAGUCCGCAUGUUCACAUGAUUAAAGGUAUUCCGGUAGACGAUGGGGAUGCGUUCCAUUAGAUAGUAGGCGGGGUAACGGCCCACCUAGUCUUCGAUGGAUAGGGGUUCUGAGAGGAAGGUCCCCCACAUUGGAACUGAGACACGGUCCAAACUCCUACGGGAGGCAGCAUG